AUGAAACUCGCAAAGUGAAGACCCCGCCCCCACAAAUCAAACGCCCCAGCGCUGUCUCGCCUUCCUCUUUCCCCCCACUUCUCCCUAGUCCAAAUCGUUGCAGUCUCCCUCCCGGUGCGGCGACGGCGCCGGAGCUGCCGCCGGCGAUGUUCCUGGAGCAGAUCCUCCCGCACCUACGGGGCGAGGUUCGCCCGAGACGCCUCCUCCAUCGGCCCUCGCGGCCGAAGGUCUCGUUAAUUCCCUCCUGGUCUGUGCUCUGACGGACUGACGGGUGUUUUUGCGUGGGUUUUGUGUCGCCAAUGCAGCGCCGCUGGGGGGGUGGGGUGAUGCGCGAUCUGGACGUCUCCCUGCGUGACCAGGUUCGUCCGGCGCUACUGCCGACCUUCUUCUUCUUGUUCGUGGUGGCAGGCUGCGGGUUCCUGAUUUGGGGCGGGUAAAGUUGCAGGGCCCGGUGCACUCGGUGGAGGAUACCAUGUUCCGAAGAUGCAGCUUGUUCGCGUCCGUGGCCCGCAUCGUGAGCGGCGCGGCAUCAGGUCUUGGUGGAGGAUUGCUCGCUCUCUGGUUUGCCACGGGACAAGGUGACCGAUUGCUUCAUUUGUGGCCGUAGCAAAUGAGAACCAAUCACCAAAAAAAUUCUUUUAUGCUGGGCACAGUUACUUUGGGAGAUACAAAUUUGUGUUAAAUUCUGGAUACUACCCCCGUUCGGUUUACUUCGCAAAAAAGAAAAACUAUGCAUGUAAGAAUGUCUUAGCAAACAUACAUGUUAAGUGAUAUAUACCAGUUUUGGUACAAAUUUACAAUGUUUUGGAUAGUCUUUGCUGUUACUCUGCAUAUAGAAAUGAUAGAGUGAACUUUUAUAAUACCUGCAAAAGGAAAAGAGUGAACUUUUACAAAAUUGCGAUAUUAUGGAAGUGGUUUUCAAGGUAAACCCAAAAGGUAUUAAUUUCACGCCACCAAACUGAAUAUCUUCCAGUAUAAUGUGUAGCUAAAGAAGUUUUUUAUAUUGUAUUUAUACGCACAAAGAUACGCCGCCUAUUUAGGAACAAGGGUACUAUAGUUGUUAGCUUAUGCCCCCAGAUAUUUGGUAAGCUAUUCAAAACAGAACACCACCUCAAUCGAACGCCUAUUUCAAUUCAGGCAAAAUGAAACAAAUAACCUUCGGUGCAGAAGUGCUGAACAGAGUAAAAGCACGUGUUAUCCUCCUUUUCAGAAAAUAACAAGUCUCGAACAGAGUAAAAGCUACACAACUAGUAUUAUUGUUGAGUUUGCUGCUGCAGGGACUUGCCGUUGGUAUCAUACAUGCACAUGCUUACUUCUACUCUUUUGUGCAGUUCAGAAAUUGCUUGGGGUUCCACUUUCACGUCCUCCUGGAAUACUGAUGUUGGGCUAUGGUUGCGGUAAUCCUAAAUGCUUUUAACCUGGUCACUGGCCCCUGUAAAUUUGUAUUGAUAAUGACAGUCUGUAAAAGCAUUUAUGUAUAUGCACUAAUAAGUAGUAGAACCUUUUAAAUUUUGGGUUUUAACUAAAUCUGCU
This 1533-nucleotide long non-coding RNA is filed under the name Hordeum vulgare. RNAcentral's name for it is "long non-coding RNA (HVUL_LNC014951)". The record is from RNAcentral. Lineage: Eukaryota; Viridiplantae; Streptophyta; Magnoliopsida; Poales; Poaceae.